This 266-nucleotide ribosomal RNA is filed under the name uncultured bacterium. Its description in RNAcentral is "partial 16S ribosomal RNA". It matches the Rfam family "Bacterial small subunit ribosomal RNA", at positions 87 to 353 of the family's 1533-position model. The record is from RNAcentral.
GAUGGCGACCGGCGCACGGGUGAGUAACACGUAUCCAACCUGCCGAUGACUCGGGGAUAGCCUUUCGAAAGAAAGAUUAAUACCCGAUGGCAUAGUUCUUCCGCAUGGUAGAACUAUUAAAGGAUUUCGGUCAUCGAUGGGGAUGCGUUCCAUUAGGUUGUUGGCGGGUAACGGCCCACCAAGCCUUCGAUGGAUAGGGGUUCUGAGAGGAAGGUCCCCCACAUUGGAACUGAGACACGGUCCAAACUCCUACGGGAGGCAGCAUG